This 112-nucleotide ribosomal RNA is filed under the name Acanthosepion pharaonis. Lineage: Eukaryota; Metazoa; Mollusca; Cephalopoda; Sepiida; Sepiidae. The record is from RNAcentral.
ACGGCCAUAUCACGUUCAGACACCGGUUUCCGCACGAUCACUGAAGUUAAGCAACGUCGAGCCUGGUUAGUAUCUAGAUGGGUGACCGUUUGGGAAUUCUAGGUUCUGUAAG